GCAAGUCGAGCGGUAAGGCUCCUGCAGUUUAUUUGAUUACGAUGGCUUUAGUCAUCACAGCAAACCGAAUCAACCCGGCUAGGGAAGAAACGGAGAGGGAAAAUCGAAUGAAGUGCUGGAGUACACGAGCGGCGGACGGCUGAGUAACGCGUAGGAACGUACCCCAAACUGAGGGAUAAGCACCAGAAAUGGUGUCUAAUACCGCAUGUGAUCUCCGGAUUAAAGCUUCGGCGGUUUGGGAACGGCCUGCGUACGAUUAGAUAGUUGGUAGGGUAAUGGCCUACCAAGUCGACGAUCGUUAGCUGGUCUGAGAGGAUGAUCAGCCAGACUGGGACUGAGAACGGCCCAGACUCCUACGGGAGGCAGCAGUAGGGAAUUUUCCACAAUGGGGGCAACCCUGAUGGAGCAACGCCGCGUGCAGGAUGAAGGCCCUCGGGUCGUAAACUGCUUUUAUAUGUGACGAAUAUGACGGUAGCAUAUGAAUAAGGAUCGGCUAACUCCGUG
Molecule: ribosomal RNA, 504 nt
Filed under: uncultured bacterium
Lineage: Bacteria
Description: bacterial SSU rRNA
Rfam family: Bacterial small subunit ribosomal RNA
Source: RNAcentral